UUAAGCGACUAAGCGUACACGGUGGAUGCCCUGGCAGUCAGAGGCGAUGAAGGACGUGCUAAUCUGCGAUAAGCGUCGGUAAGGUGAUAUGAACCGUUAUAACCGGCGAUUUCCGAAUGGGGAAACCCAGUGUGAUUCGUCACACUAUCAUUAACUGAAUCCAUAGGUUAAUGAGGCGAACCGGGGGAACUGAAACAUCUAAGUACCCCGAGGAAAAGAAAUCAACCGAGAUUCCCCCAGUAGCGGCGAGCGAACGGGGAGCAGCCCAGAGCCUGAAUCAGUGUGUGUGUUAGUGGAAGCGUCUGGAAAGGCGCGCGAUACAGGGUGACAGCCCCGUACACAAAAAUGCACAUGCUGUGAGCUCGAUGAGUAGGGCGGGACACGUGGUAUCCUGUCUGAAUAUGGGGGGACCAUCCUCCAAGGCUAAAUACUCCUGACUGACCGAUAGUGAACCAGUACCGUGAGGGAAAGGCGAAAAGAACCCCGGCGAGGGGAGUGAAAAAGAACCUGAAACCGUGUACGUACAAGCAGUGGGAGCACAGAGCAAUCUGUGUGACUGCGUACCUUUUGUAUAAUGGGUCAGCGACUUAUAUUCUGUAGCAAGGUUAACCGAAUAGGGGAGCCGAAGGGAAACCGAGUCUUAACUGGGCGUUAAGUUGCAGGGUAUAGACCCGAAACCCGGUGAUCUAGCCAUGGGCAGGUUGAAGGUUGGGUAACACUAACUGGAGGACCGAACCGACUAAUGUUGAAAAAUUAGCGGAUGACUUGUGGCUGGGGGUGAAAGGCCAAUCAAACCGGGAGAUAGCUGGUUCUCCCCGAAAGCUAUUUAGGUAGCGCCUCGUGAAUUCAUCUCCGGGGGUAGAGCACUGUUUCGGCAAGGGGGUCAUCCCGACUUACCAACCCGAUGCAAACUGCGAAUACCGGAGAAUGUUAUCACGGGAGACACACGGCGGGUGCUAACGUCCGUCGUGAAGAGGGAAACAACCCAGACCGCCAGCUAAGGUCCCAAAGUCAUGGUUAAGUGGGAAACGAUGUGGGAAGGCCCAGACAGCCAGGAUGUUGGCUUAGAAGCAGCCAUCAUUUAAAGAAAGCGUAAUAGCUCACUGGUCGAGUCGGCCUGCGCGGAAGAUGUAACGGGGCUAAACCAUGCACCGAAGCUGCGGCAGCGACGCUUAUGCGUUGUUGGGUAGGGGAGCGUUCUGUAAGCCUGCGAAGGUGUGCUGUGAGGCAUGCUGGAGGUAUCAGAAGUGCGAAUGCUGACAUAAGUAACGAUAAAGCGGGUGAAAAGCCCGCUCGCCGGAAGACCAAGGGUUCCUGUCCAACGUUAAUCGGGGCAGGGUGAGUCGACCCCUAAGGCGAGGCCGAAAGGCGUAGUCGAUGGGAAACAGGUUAAUAUUCCUGUACUUGGUGUUACUGCGAAGGGGGGACGGAGAAGGCUAUGUUGGCCGGGCGACGGUUGUCCCGGUUUAAGCGUGUAGGCUGGUUUUCCAGGCAAAUCCGGAAAAUCAAGGCUGAGGCGUGAUGACGAGGCACUACGGUGCUGAAGCAACAAAUGCCCUGCUUCCAGGAAAAGCCUCUAAGCAUCAGGUAACAUCAAAUCGUACCCCAAACCGACACAGGUGGUCAGGUAGAGAAUACCAAGGCGCUUGAGAGAACUCGGGUGAAGGAACUAGGCAAAAUGGUGCCGUAACUUCGGGAGAAGGCACGCUGAUAUGUAGGUGAAGUCCCUCGCGGAUGGAGCUGAAAUCAGUCGAAGAUACCAGCUGGCUGCAACUGUUUAUUAAAAACACAGCACUGUGCAAACACGAAAGUGGACGUAUACGGUGUGACGCCUGCCCGGUGCCGGAAGGUUAAUUGAUGGGGUCAGCGCAAGCGAAGCUCUUGAUCGAAGCCCCGGUAAACGGCGGCCGUAACUAUAACGGUCCUAAGGUAGCGAAAUUCCUUGUCGGGUAAGUUCCGACCUGCACGAAUGGCGUAAUGAUGGCCAGGCUGUCUCCACCCGAGACUCAGUGAAAUUGAACUCGCUGUGAAGAUGCAGUGUACCCGCGGCAAGACGGAAAGACCCCGUGAACCUUUACUAUAGCUUGACACUGAACAUUGAGCCUUGAUGUGUAGGAUAGGUGGGAGGCUUUGAAGUGUGGACGCCAGUCUGCAUGGAGCCGACCUUGAAAUACCACCCUUUAAUGUUUGAUGUUCUAACGUGGACCCGUAAUCCGGGUUGCGGACAGUGUCUGGUGGGUAGUUUGACUGGGGCGGUCUCCUCCUAAAGAGUAACGGAGGAGCACGAAGGUUGGCUAAUCCUGGUCGGACAUCAGGAGGUUAGUGCAAUGGCAUAAGCCAGCUUGACUGCGAGCGUGACGGCGCGAGCAGGUGCGAAAGCAGGUCAUAGUGAUCCGGUGGUUCUGAAUGGAAGGGCCAUCGCUCAACGGAUAAAAGGUACUCCGGGGAUAACAGGCUGAUACCGCCCAAGAGUUCAUAUCGACGGCGGUGUUUGGCACCUCGAUGUCGGCUCAUCACAUCCUGGGGCUGAAGUAGGUCCCAAGGGUAUGGCUGUUCGCCAUUUAAAGUGGUACGCGAGCUGGGUUUAGAACGUCGUGAGACAGUUCGGUCCCUAUCUGCCGUGGGCGCUGGAGAAUUGAGGGGGGCUGCUCCUAGUACGAGAGGACCGGAGUGGACGCAUCACUGGUGUUCGGGUUGUCAUGCCAAUGGCACUGCCCGGUAGCUAAAUGCGGAAGAGAUAAGUGCUGAAAGCAUCUAAGCACGAAACUUGCCCCGAGAUGAGUUCUCCCUGACUCCUUGAGAGUCCUGAAGGAACGUUGAAGACGACGACGUUGAUAGGCCGGGUGUGUAAGCGCAGCGAUGCGUUGAGCUAACCGGUACUAAUGAACCGUGAGGCUUAACCUU
RNAcentral lists this ribosomal RNA (2904 nucleotides) under Escherichia coli. Its description in RNAcentral is "bacterial LSU rRNA". It matches the Rfam family "Bacterial large subunit ribosomal RNA". The record is from RNAcentral. Lineage: Bacteria; Pseudomonadati; Pseudomonadota; Gammaproteobacteria; Enterobacterales; Enterobacteriaceae.